Molecule: ribosomal RNA, 292 nt
Filed under: Escherichia coli
Lineage: Bacteria; Pseudomonadati; Pseudomonadota; Gammaproteobacteria; Enterobacterales; Enterobacteriaceae
Description: partial 16S ribosomal RNA
Rfam family: Bacterial small subunit ribosomal RNA
Source: RNAcentral
AAAUUGAAGAGUUUGAUCAUGGCUCAGAUUGAACGCUGGCGGCAGGCCUAACACAUGCAAGUCGAACGGUAACAGAAAGCAGCUUGCUGCUUUGCUGACGAGUGGCGGACGGGUGAGUAAUGUCUGGGAAACUGCCUGAUGGAGGGGGAUAACUACUGGAAACGGUAGCUAAUACCGCAUAACGUCGCAAGACCAAAGAGGGGGACCUUAGGGCCUCUUGCCAUCGGAUGUGCCCAGAUGGGAUUAGCUAGUAGGUGGGGUAACGGCUCACCUAGGCGACGAUCCCUAGCUG